GAGGGUAUAGCUCAAGUGGUAGAGCACAUGCUUAGCAUGCAUGAGGCCCUGGGUUCAAUCCCCAGUACCUCCU
Molecule: transfer RNA, 73 nt
Filed under: Camelus bactrianus (Bactrian camel)
Lineage: Eukaryota; Metazoa; Chordata; Mammalia; Artiodactyla; Camelidae
Also listed under: 2 other names
Rfam family: tRNA
About the family: Transfer RNA (tRNA) molecules are approximately 80 nucleotides in length. Their secondary structure includes four short double-helical elements and three loops (D, anti-codon, and T loops).
Source: Rfam by way of RNAcentral